This 235-nucleotide ribosomal RNA is filed under the name uncultured bacterium. Its description in RNAcentral is "partial 16S ribosomal RNA". It matches the Rfam family "Bacterial small subunit ribosomal RNA", at positions 524 to 761 of the family's 1533-position model. The record is from RNAcentral.
UACGGAGGGUGCGAGCGUUGUCCGGAAUCACUGGGCGUAAAGGGCGCGUAGGUGGCUACUCAAGCGCGCGGUGAAAGCCCGGGGCUCAACCCCGGGUCGGCCGUGCGGACUGGGAGGCUCGAGCACUGUAGGGGCGGGUGGAAUUCCGGGUGUAGCGGUGGAAUGCGUAGAGAUCCGGAAGAACACCGGUGGCGAAGGCGGCCCGCUGGGCAGGAAGGGGUGGGUAGCAAACAGG